This 180-nucleotide unclassified non-coding RNA is filed under the name Epibacterium ulvae. Its description in RNAcentral is "caulobacter sRNA CC2171". The record is from RNAcentral. Lineage: Bacteria; Pseudomonadati; Pseudomonadota; Alphaproteobacteria; Rhodobacterales; Roseobacteraceae.
UAACAACUGAAAGGAGGUGCUCUAGUGUCUAUUGAGAACUUGGAGAUAGGUGUCGGAACAGUUUGGGAGAAGCAGAUCUGAGGCAACCCUUAGGGACUGCUAAACACAAAUUGGUGCCAGCCUAACCGGCGCACCUCCGAAAACUCAAGAAGGGUUGUCCGUUACGCAAACAGGCAACCC